This is a long non-coding RNA of Oncorhynchus keta (chum salmon), 634 nucleotides long. RefSeq lists it as uncharacterized. NCBI's taxonomy places the organism in Eukaryota, Metazoa, Chordata, Actinopteri, Salmoniformes, Salmonidae. The transcript has 3 exons. The record is from RefSeq and is a predicted model, not a curated record.
UACACCUGUUGUAUUCAUAAUUUCACUGUAAGGUCUACUACACCUGUUGUAUUCAUAAUUUCACUGUGAGGUCUACUACACCUGUUGUAUUCAUAAUUUCACUGUGAGGUCUACUACACCUGUUGUAUUCAUAAUUUCACUGUGAGGUCUACUACACCUGUUGUAUUCAUAAUUUCACUGUGAGGUCUACUACACCUGUUGUAUUCAUAAUUUCACUGUGAGGUCUACUACACCUGUUGUAUUCAUAAUUUCACUGUGAGGUCUACUACACCUGUUGUAUUCAUAAUUUCACUGUGAGGUCUACUACACCUGUUGUAUUCAUAAUUUCACUGUGAGGUCUACUACACCUGUUGUAUUCAUAAUUUCACUGUGAGGUCUACUACACCUGUUGUAUUCAUAAUUUCACUGUGAGGUCUACUACACCUGUUGUAUUCAUAAUUUCACUGUGAGGUCUACUACACCUGUUGUAUUCAUAAUUUCACUGUGAGGUCUACUACACCUGUUGUAUUCAUAAUUUCACUGUGAGGUCUACUACACCUGUUGUAUUCAUAAUUUCACUGUGAGGUCUACUACACCUGUUGUAUUCAGCAUUUCACUGUAAUAUUUAUAUAUAUUUAUAUUUAUAUGACAUACU